Molecule: ribosomal RNA, 553 nt
Filed under: Colletotrichum truncatum
Lineage: Eukaryota; Fungi; Ascomycota; Sordariomycetes; Glomerellales; Glomerellaceae
Description: eukaryotic LSU rRNA
Rfam family: Eukaryotic large subunit ribosomal RNA
Source: RNAcentral
AGCGGAGGAAAAGAAACCAACAGGGAUUGCCCCAGUAACGGCGAGUGAAGCGGCAACAGCUCAAAUUUGAAAUCUGGCCCUAGGCCCGAGUUGUAAUUUGCAGAGGAUGCUUUUGGCGCGGUGCCUUCCGAGUUCCCUGGAACGGGACGCCAUAGAGGGUGAGAGCCCCGUACGGUUGGACACCAAGUCUUUGUAAAGCUCCUUCGACGAGUCGAGUAGUUUGGGAAUGCUGCUCAAAAUGGGAGGUAUAUUUCUUCUAAAGCUAAAUAUUGGCCAGAGACCGAUAGCGCACAAGUAGAGUGAUCGAAAGAUGAAAAGCACUUUGAAAAGAGGGUUAAACAGCACGUGAAAUUGUUAAAAGGGAAGCGCUUGUGACCAGACUUGCGUCCGGUGAAUCACCCAGCUCUCGCGGCUGGGGCAUUUUGCCGGCUCAGGCCAGCAUCAGCUUGCCGUCGGGGACAAAAGCUUCGGGAACGUAGCUCUCUUCGGGGAGUGUUAUAGCCCGUUGCAUAAUACCCUUCGGUGGGCUGAGGUACGCGCUCCGCAAGGAUGC